GGGCCCGCACAAGCGGUGGAGCAUGUGGUUUAAUUCGAUGCAACGCGAAAAACCUUACCAGGCCUUGACAUCCAGAGAACUUACCAGAGAUGGUUCGGUGCCUUCGGGAACUCUGUGACAGGUGUUGCAUGGCUGUCGUCAGCUCGUGUCGUGAGAUGUUGGGUUAAGUCCCGUAACGAGCGCAACCCUUAUCCUUACUUGCCAGCACGUAAUGGUGGGAACUUUAAGGAGACUGCCGGUGACAAACCGGAGGAAGGAGAGGAUGAUGUCAAGUCAUCAUGGCCCUUACGGCCUGGGCUACACACGUGCUACAAUGGGAAGUACAAAGGGUCGCAAGUUUGCAAAGACAAGCUAAUCUCAUAAACUCGGUCUCAGUUCGGAUUGUAGGCUGCAACUCGCCUACAUG
Molecule: ribosomal RNA, 406 nt
Filed under: uncultured bacterium
Lineage: Bacteria
Description: bacterial SSU rRNA
Rfam family: Bacterial small subunit ribosomal RNA
Source: RNAcentral